UAUUGCGCAAUGGGCGAAAGCCUGACGCAGCGACGCCGCGUGAGGGAUGAAGGUUUUCGGAUCGUAAACCCAUGUCAGAAGGGAAGAGAGUGCGGGGUGCUAAUCAGCCGCGUAUUGACGGUACCUUCAAAGGAAGCACCGGCUAACUCCGUGCCAACAGCCGCGGUAAUGCGGAGGGUGCGAGCGUUAAUCGGAAUUACUGGGCGUAAAGCGCACGUAGGCUGUUGUGUAAGUCAGGGGUGAAAUCCCACGGCUCAACCGUGGAACUGCCCUUGAUACUGCAUGACUGGAAUCCGGGAGAGGGUGGCGGAAUUCCAGGUGUAGGAGUGAAAUCCGUAGAUAUCUGGAGGAACAUCAGUGGCGAAGGCGGCCACCCGGACCGGUAUUGACGCUGAGGUGCGAAAGCGUGGGGAGCAAACAGG
This 422-nucleotide ribosomal RNA is filed under the name uncultured bacterium. RNAcentral's name for it is "bacterial SSU rRNA". It matches the Rfam family "Bacterial small subunit ribosomal RNA", at positions 362 to 776 of the family's 1533-position model. The record is from RNAcentral.